This 2996-nucleotide ribosomal RNA is filed under the name Cupriavidus sp. UME77. RNAcentral describes it as "23S ribosomal RNA". It matches the Rfam family "Bacterial large subunit ribosomal RNA". The record is from RNAcentral. Lineage: Bacteria; Pseudomonadati; Pseudomonadota; Betaproteobacteria; Burkholderiales; Burkholderiaceae.
GUUAUAGGGUCAAGCGAACAAGUGCAUGUGGUGGAUGCCUUGGCGAUCACAGGCGAUGAAGGACGCGGUAGCCUGCGAAAAGCUUCGGGGAGCUGGCAAACAAGCUUUGAUCCGGAGAUGUCCGAAUGGGGAAACCCGGCCCGUAUGGGUCAUCCCUGACUGAAUACAUAGGUCAGGGAAGCGAACGCGGCGAACUGAAACAUCUAAGUAGCUGCAGGAACAGAAAUCAACCGAGAUUCCCAGAGUAGUGGCGAACGAAAUGGGAAGAGCCUUGUACUCUUUAGCAGCAUUGUUAGCAGAACGGGAUGGAAAGCCCGGCCAUAGCAGGUGAUAGCCCUGUAUGCGAAAACAGCGUUGUGGAACUAGGUGUACGACAAGUAGGGCGGGACACGUGAAAUCCUGUCUGAAGAUGGGGGGACCAUCCUCCAAGGCUAAAUACUCGUGAUCGACCGAUAGUGAACCAGUACCGUGAGGGAAAGGCGAAAAGAACCCCGGGAGGGGAGUGAAAUAGAUCCUGAAACCGCAUGCAUACAAACAGUCGGAGCCUGGAAACGGGUGACGGCGUACCUUUUGUAUAAUGGGUCAGCGACUUACAUUCAGUGGCAAGCUUAACCGAUUAGGGAAGGCGUAGCGAAAGCGAGUCCGAAUAGGGCGUUCAGUCGCUGGGUGUAGACCCGAAACCAGACGAUCUAUCCAUGGCCAGGUUGAAGGUGCGGUAACACGUACUGGAGGACCGAACCCACUAACGUUGAAAAGUUAGGGGAUGAGCUGUGGAUAGGGGUGAAAGGCUAAACAAGUCUGGAAAUAGCUGGUUCUCUCCGAAAACUAUUUAGGUAGUGCCUCGUGUCUCACCUUCGGGGGUAGAGCACUGUCAUGGUUGGGGGGUCUAUUGCUGAUUACCCCGCCAUAGCAAACUCCGAAUACCGAAGAGUGCAAUCACGGGAGACAGACAUCGGGUGCUAACGUCCGGUGUCAAGAGGGAAACAACCCAGACCGCCAGCUAAGGUCCCUAAGAUUGGCUAAGUGGGAAACGAAGUGGGAAGGCUAAAACAGUCAGGAGGUUGGCUUAGAAGCAGCCAUCCUUUAAAGAAAGCGUAAUAGCUCACUGAUCGAGUCGUCCUGCGCGGAAGAUGUAACGGGGCUAAGCCAGUCACCGAAGCUGCGGAUGCGUGCAUUCCUUUAAGUGCACCUUGCUUGUCGAUGCGCAGCAUCGACAAAGCGCCCAACAGUGAUCGUUGGGAUGCAAGUGAAGUGGAUUUAAAGGAGUGCACGCAUGGUAGGAGAGCGUUCUGUAAGCCUGUGAAGGUGUCUUGUAAAGGAUGCUGGAGGUAUCAGAAGUGCGAAUGCUGACAUGAGUAGCGAUAAAGGGGGUGAAAAGCCCCCUCGCCGUAAGCCCAAGGUUUCCUACGCAACGUUCAUCGGCGUAGGGUGAGUCGGCCCCUAAGGCGAGGCAGAGAUGCGUAGCUGAUGGGAAGCAGGUUAAUAUUCCUGCACCGUCGUAUGAUGCGAUGGGGGGACGGAUCGCGGAAGGUUGUCCGGGUGUUGGAAGUCCCGGUCCCUGUAUUGGAGAAGGCGCUUAGGCAAAUCCGGGCGCGGAAUUCAAGGAUAUGGGGCGAGCGGCCUAGUGCUGCGAAGCAAUUGGAAGUGGUUCCAAGAAAAGCCUCUAAGCUUCAGUCAUACGAGACCGUACCGCAAACCGACACAGGUGGGCGAGAUGAGUAUUCUAAGGCGCUUGAGAGAACUCGGGAGAAGGAACUCGGCAAAUUGGUACCGUAACUUCGGGAUAAGGUACGCCCUUGUAGCUUGACUGGCCUGCGCCAGGAGGGUGAAGGGGUUGCAAUAAAAUGGUGGCUGCGACUGUUUAAUAAAAACACAGCACUCUGCAAACACGAAAGUGGACGUAUAGGGUGUGACGCCUGCCCGGUGCCGGAAGAUUAAAUGAUGGGGUGCAAGCUCUUGAUUGAAGUCCCGGUAAACGGCGGCCGUAACUAUAACGGUCCUAAGGUAGCGAAAUUCCUUGUCGGGUAAGUUCCGACCUGCACGAAUGGCGUAACGAUGGCCACACUGUCUCCUCCCGAGACUCAGCGAAGUUGAAGUGUUUGUGAUGAUGCAAUCUCCCCGCGGCUAGACGGAAAGACCCCAUGAACCUUUACUGUAGCUUUGCAUUGGACUUUGAACCGAUCUGUGUAGGAUAGGUGGGAGGCUUUGAAGCGUGGACGCUAGUCUGCGUGGAGCCGUCCUUGAAAUACCACCCUGGUUUGUUUGAGGUUCUAACCUUGGCCCGUGAAUCCGGGUCGGGGACAGUGCAUGGUAGGCAGUUUGACUGGGGCGGUCUCCUCCCAAAGUGUAACGGAGGAGUUCGAAGGUACGCUUGGUACGGUCGGACAUCGUACCUAAAGUGCAAUGGCAAAAGCGUGCUUAACUGCGAGACCGACAAGUCGAGCAGGUGCGAAAGCAGGACAUAGUGAUCCGGUGGUUCUGAAUGGAAGGGCCAUCGCUCAACGGAUAAAAGGUACUCUGGGGAUAACAGGCUGAUACCGCCCAAGAGUUCAUAUCGACGGCGGUGUUUGGCACCUCGAUGUCGGCUCAUCUCAUCCUGGGGCUGUAGCCGGUCCCAAGGGUAUGGCUGUUCGCCAUUUAAAGAGGUACGUGAGCUGGGUUUAAAACGUCGUGAGACAGUUUGGUCCCUAUCUGCCGUGGGCGUUGGAAUCUUGACGGGGGCUGCUCCUAGUACGAGAGGACCGGAGUGGACGUACCGCUGGUGUACCUGUUGUCUCGCCAGAGGCAUCGCAGGGUAGCUAUGUACGGAAGAGAUAACCGCUGAAAGCAUCUAAGCGGGAAACUCGCCUGAAGAUGAGGAUUCCCUGGAGCCUUGAGCUCCUUGAAGGGUCGUUCGAGACCAGGACGUUGAUAGGCUGGGUGUGGAAGCGCAGUAAUGCGUUAAGCUAACCAGUACUAAUUGCCCGUAAGGCUUGAUCCUAUAACCAGUGUGUUUC